UUAUAAGAGACAGCAGUCGCCGCGGUAAUACGAAGGGUGCAAGCGUUACUCGGAAUUACUGGGCGUAAAGCGUGCGUAGGUGGUGGUUUAAGUCCGUUGUGAAAGCCCUGGGCUCAACCUGGGAAUUGCAGUGGAUACUGGGUCACUAGAGUGUGGUAGAGGAUAGUGGAAUUUCCGGUGUAGCAGUGAAAUGCGUAGAGAUCGGAAGGAACAUCUGUGGCGAAGGCGACUAUCUGGGCCAACACUGACACUGAGGCACGAAAGCGUGGGGAGCAAACAGGAUUAGAUACCCGGGUAGUCCCUGUCUCUUAUAC
RNAcentral lists this ribosomal RNA (314 nucleotides) under uncultured bacterium. RNAcentral's name for it is "partial 16S ribosomal RNA". It matches the Rfam family "Bacterial small subunit ribosomal RNA", at positions 499 to 807 of the family's 1533-position model. The record is from RNAcentral.